AAGAUAUUCAAAUUGAUAGAUAAUGGGCCUGGUAGGAAAAAGAACUAAAUGGGGUUUUGGAGAGAAAAUAAAGCAAAAGCCGUUAUGAUGAUAAACCAAGCUCAAUCAGCAGAAAUGGUCACCAUCAUUCAACACGAUGAUGUAUUCCGUCGCCGUCCCCCACGGCGUUACGAUGCAUAAGGGAAACAAGACCUCCGAAUCAAAGAUAGAAUAUGAAGAACUGGUAUCGAUCGGUUCGUUCUUGAAAUCAAUGAGGUUGGCAGAUGAAAAGGAAGAAGAAGAAUACGGGAGCAGGAGCUAUACUCCCCUAUCGCUCUUCUACACCAAAGGUAAAUCUCGCAAAAAUUAUCUUCCACUAUCUUUCUUCACCACCAUUGUCCCCAUGGAUAUGGAUAAUUCUCCAGUAUUGUUCGGAUCUUACGAGGAAGCAUUGAUGUCCGAUGGAAGCAAGUCCUCCGUAUCUGAAUCAAAGAUGGGUCCGAUGGAGAAGGGAAACAAAUCUGAAUCAAAGAUGUUUCUGACGGAGAAUGGAAACAAGUCCGAAUCAAAGAUGGAUCCGAUGGAGAAUGGAAACAAGUCCGAAUCAAAGAUGGGUCCGAUGGAGAAGGGAAACAAGUCCUCCCAAUCAAAGAUGUUUCUGAUGGAGAAGGGUAACAAGUCCGAAUCAAAGAUGAGUCCGAUGGAGAAGGGAAACAAGUCCGAAUCAAAGAUGAGUCCGAUGGAAAAGGGAAACAAGUCCUCCCAAUCAAAGAUGUUUCUGAUGGAGAAGGGUAACAAGUCCGAAUCAAAGAUGAGUCCGAUGGAGAAGGGAAACAAGUCCGAAUCAAAGAUGAGUCUGAUGGAUAAAGGAAAGUCCUCCCAAUCAAAGGUUAGCAGAAACAACUCUGAUCCGAUGGAUCAGGGAGAGUCCUCCCAAUCAAAGUUUAUCAGAAACUCUAUUCCCGACAAACUUGCUUUAUCUAUUCUUUCAAAAUUGCCCAUAAAAUCAUUGAAGCGCUUUGGAUGCAUACGCAAAUCAUGGUCCAUUUUAUUUGAAAACUCUGAUUUCAUGACCAUGUACACCAAUAGUUUCAUAUCUCAUCACGUUUCUGAUGACGAUUAUCAUACAUUUAUUCUCUCAAAUCAUCAUGCCACUGCUUACCAUCUCACAUCUGAUUAUCUUUACAACUCUGAAUUCCAUUUACUCAACAACACAGUCAAAUUCAAUUUGCCGCCUCCAUUUCAACAGUCUGGCUGUCAUAGGAGGAUUCUCAACUCCGCGAGUGUUAAAGGCAUUUUUUGUCUUCACCAAGAAUAUCCCAUUAAUCUCCAAUAUGUAUUGUGGAAUCCUGCUACCCAGGAAUUCCUGGUCAUUCCUCGUAGCCCCGCUGAUCUUUUACAAGACUCUCAAAACAACCUCCAUCUCAGCCACGCUUUUAAUGGGUUUGGUUAUGACCAACUUAGAGAUGACUUUAAGGUUAUUCAGUAUAUAACAUUUGAUUGUGAAUGCGAGAGCUAUCGUCCUCCGAUAAUAGAAAGUUAUUUCGAGAUAUAUAGUUUAAAAAGUAAUUCAUGGAGAACCAUCGACAUGAACAAAGGUCCGUCGUCUUCUAUUUGGUCUCGUUGUCGAUUGUUUGAUACUCGCGGAGUUUAUUUGGAUGGAGCAUGUCAUUGGGUGAUUUCCGACGGAGAGGACCUUGCUGAAAAAUCUCUCUUGUCAUUUGACCUCAGUGAUGAGGUGUUCCUUACAACACCCAUUGGGGUUCAACCUCCUUUGCCAUACAGUUAUGAUGAACGCUUGGCGGUGUUAAAUGGAUCAAUUGCUUUAAUAUCAAAUUAUCACGAUGAUAUUAUUUUUCACAUAUAUAUUCUGGGUGAACUUGGUGUGGGUGAAUCCUGGAUCAAACUAUAUAUUUAUGGUCCCUUUUCUUCCAUUACAUGGCCCCCUGUUGGAUUUGGGAAGUCGGGAUAUAUUUUCUUUCCAAAUAAUGAUUAUGAACUGGCCUAUGUUGAUUUGAGCACCCAAAAAAUUGAAGAGGUUGGUAUUACUGGUGCAGAGGCUAGUUAUUUUCAAGUCGGUCUUUACAAGGAAAGCCUUCUCUCGAUUGGAGGAUCAAUGCAAGAUCUUCUAUAGUGGUAUUGAGGAAGAGGUGUGUAACAGAAUUCAAGAGAUUACGGCUUUUGGAAGAGGCUCACUCCCUGUCAGGUACUGAAAAAAGCCGAAAGAGUCCCAUAGCCUGGUCUCGUGUGUGCAGUCCCAUUAAAUAUGGUGGCAUGAACCUGAUAAACAUGGAGGUUUGGUGUAAUAUUGCCAUGUUGAGAUGUCUUUGGAAUCUGAGUA
Molecule: RNA transcript, 2320 nt
Organism: Vicia villosa (hairy vetch)
Lineage: Eukaryota; Viridiplantae; Streptophyta; Magnoliopsida; Fabales; Fabaceae
Gene name: F-box/kelch-repeat protein At3g06240-like
Exons: 3
Source: RefSeq, a predicted model, not a curated record